Molecule: RNA transcript, 2894 nt
Organism: Aedes albopictus (Asian tiger mosquito)
Lineage: Eukaryota; Metazoa; Arthropoda; Insecta; Diptera; Culicidae
Exons: 3
Source: RefSeq, a predicted model, not a curated record
UUUCUUCACAAAUUUGUUCAAGGAUAACCCCAGGGAUUCCUUCAGAUAUUCCUUUGAGAAUUUCUCCAGGAACUGCACUAGCAAUUCCGCUAGAAAUUCCUCCAGGAAUCUCUCAAGGGGUUCUUUCAGAAAUAGGAAAAUAACAGAAAUAGAAACAGAAAUCUCUCAGAAUUCUUCUGGAGAUUCCUCUAGAUAUUCAUCCAGUAAUUCUUUCAAGAAUUCCUCUAGAGAUUACUCCAGAAAUUUCCACAGGAAUACCACUAGGAACUCCUCCAUUUAUUCCUCCGGGAUGUUAUCUAGGAAUUUCCCCAGGAAAUUUCUUCAGGAAUACCUCCAGGAAAUACCCCAGGAAUUUCUUCCGGAAUACUCCUGGCAUCCUUCAGGAAUUAUGCCAGCAAUUCGUCCAGGAAUUUCUCCUGGAAAUCCUCUUGGGAUUUCUUCAGAGAUUCUUUCAGGAAAUUCUCCAGGAAUACUUUGAGGAAAUUUUCAGGGAUUCCUCCAGACAUUUCUCCAGAGAUUCUUCCAGGAAUUACUUCAUGGAUUUCUCCACGAAUUUUUCGAGGGAUAUUCCCAGAGAUUUCACCAGGGAAUCCUCCAGAAAUUCCUCCAAGGGUUCUUUGAGGAAAUCCUGGAAUUUCUCAAGGGAUUUUUUCAGAAACUUUUCCAGCAAUUCCUCUCACAAUUCCUCUUGAGAUUUCUUCAGGAAUUUCUCCCGGAAUUCUCCGAGGGGCUCCAAGAAUUCACCCAAAAAAUUGCUCAAGGAAAUUCUUAAAAGGAAGUUUUUAAUAAAAAUAAAUUUUUCUCAGGAAUCCAAAAAAAUAUGAAAUGGAAAAAGUUUCCCACAAAAUGUUCCAUCGUUGAGAAAGUUCAUAAAAAAAAGCUAAGCCCAAACUCGCAAAAAGUUUUCAAAAAAAUAAUUUUGAGAAGGUAAUUUCAUAAGCUUUGAUCGCUGAAAAUUUUGGAAUGCACUUAUUUUUCGUUCCUGAGUUAUGGCCAAUUAUGUGAAGAAUGACCAUAUAAUAUAUGCGAAUCUCGAAUAGAGAUCCGUUCCUCAAGUGACCCAUUUUGCCCCCUCUUUCCAAGAGCAGUCACGGUAAAGAAAGGGUUAGCGUCGUUGUCGUGAACAUACAUUAUUAUCAGAAUUCAAUUGACGUCCAUCUGUAUUGUAACUCAAGGCAUUGUUGCUGCAUUUAUCAUCUUGAAACUAGUGCGGUAACACAUCGAGUCAGUCGGUCACAUAGACACUGCAUUGUGAGGCGAACCACAGUCUUCAGUUAGUGAUUGUUCUGAUCUGAAAACAAUCCGACUGUGAAAGGUUUAAAACUUUGUUUGGUAUUCAAGUACGAAAGUCAGUGUUAGGAAUUUAAGGGAAAACAUGAGCAUUCAUAUUCUGCCACCUGAGAUACUGGACACAAUUUUUGAAUAUUUCCCGUUUAGCCAGCGUCUUCUGCUUUCCGGCAUUUGUUUGUCAUGGCACAAACUGAUAUUCAAACCACAGUUCUGCAAAAGAUUAGUCCUACAUUUAAACUCAGCAAAGGAUCUUGUUGAGAAGCCUUACGCUAAGGAGAUGUUUGUACAUCCUCGUAAUGUAGUGAUAAACUGUGCUAAUUUCACCAGCCAUGAGUUGAGGUCAUUGAGGGAUUGCAUGAAAGGUGCUACUGUGGAUUUUCUCAAAAUUUGUACAGCAAAUAGUAUUGCAAAACGUGUCGUGGAUAUGCUUUUAGGAGUCGUGCCGGAAUUGAAAAGUUUGUAUCUCAUACUGAAAGGAGACUCGGAGAAUUGCAGUGAAGUAGUCAUACAAAUCAGACAUCAAAAACUACAAUGUGUGGUUCUGAAUGGAAAUGGCAAAUAUGAUAUAGAUUGUACGACAUUGAAUGCUUUGCAGUCAGACCGGAUGCUUGAGAAAGUAAUCCAAAAAAUAAGUAGUCUUCAAGGACAACUAACACAUCUAAAAUUCGCCAGAACUUGCCAGGGUUCUCCCUACCGUGCUGCGUCAACAUUUCAUCUAAUUACCGCUGGGACCGUUUGUUGGAGUUUAGCUUGAUCAAUUUACCUCCAAUAGAUAAUCUUGAGAAAAUCAUUGAGCAAAUGCCUUGUUUGCAGAAAUUGACGUUACACGGAUCUCCUAGUCAUGAAACGUUUACUGGAAACGAAAUCGGAACAGAAACACCCUUGUCAGAGUUAAUUUUGGAAAAAUAUUGCAUUGAUCCGGUUUCGCUAAAUAAGCUCCUCACUCAUUCAUCCAUGACGAAGAUUUCUCUACGGCAAUGCACAUUUAGUUCGCUGUUAGAUCCUUUGAAGUCAAGUUCUAUUAAAAAUUUGAAUUUCCAACCCACUACGACUCCAAUACUGAUGCCCCGUUUCCCGAGUUUGGAAAUCCUAGAUCUACAAGGCGUGAACGAUAGGACAUUUUAUAGGGCUUUUUUGAAGAUAUGCGACUACUAUCCUAAGCUGGAACGUCUAACGCUUGGCAUGACAUACGGGAAAAAGCUGAAACCGCAUUCAAACAAUGGGAUUGUGAAAAAAUCAUUUUCGGCACUGAAAAAAUUAAAUAAACUGAAAGUCCUUCGUCUAGAGCGAGUGGAUCUGACCGGUAUCAACUGGAAUAGGUGUGUAGGCAGCAAGGUGGAACACAUUCAUCUGAAAUUUUGCAAUAUACAUGAAGCGGGGGCCAAGAGUUUGAUAGGAAGCUUCAAACACCUGCAAACAUUCUAUCUCGACUAUUGCACUCUCGAAGUACCGAAAGCUAAAUCGUUCUGUGAAGAUGGAUUGCGUAAGGUGAAACCACACUGCCAGAUUUCCUUUCACGAUGUUAGCAUUCAAAACAAAAAAAAGAGGCGCUGACAUCUGAGCUUCUCUUAUGCAACAUUUUUAUAAAUCAUUGAAUAAAUAUG